This 611-nucleotide long non-coding RNA is filed under the name Helicoverpa zea (corn earworm). Its description in RNAcentral is "uncharacterized LOC124634560". The record is from RNAcentral. Lineage: Eukaryota; Metazoa; Arthropoda; Insecta; Lepidoptera; Noctuidae.
UAUCAUUUUCGAUAUAGAAAAUAAUGACUCAAAUCUUUGACAUUUGUUAUAAGGUUAUGUAGUAUAAUAUAUAGUCUGUGUCAUUUCAAAACUUCAAAACCAAAACAAACAUUUUGCUCAUAACUAGAUUAUAAGUUUAUUUAUUUAAAUACGAGAAUCGAGAUUUCAAAGCUCCAAAUGGCUUUAAGCGGUCAAGUGGACUUUAAAAAAAGUUGUACCCAUAGCCAACGGCAUUCUACUUGUCCUGUGUUUUAGUUUGGUGCCAAAACUAUCGAAAUAUCUCGCAACGCACUGCCUUCGUUGAGUCAGCUGGAAGAGCUAGUAAGCUUUUUGGAAAGUAAACCAUGUUUGAUUAUGAUGGGCCAUGCUCGUACUGCGAAUGCGAGCAUGCAUGCAUGAUCCGAAAACAACAGCCCUAAACAGUGAAGUAGUGGGUGUAUGAAAAUUUUGGAGCAGUGGUGUAAGUACUGGAAGGACAAAAAGGAGCAGUUCAGAGGAAGUCCAGUUCUAUUGCAGCUGCGAGCCAACAUGAAGAAUUUGCCAGAACUUGGUGUAAUCAAGUUAAAAAUACAUUCUAUUAUGCAAGGAGAAUGUUUUGGAAUCUGAAUUUA